Molecule: non-coding RNA, 29 nt
Filed under: Rattus norvegicus (Norway rat)
Lineage: Eukaryota; Metazoa; Chordata; Mammalia; Rodentia; Muridae
Source: RNAcentral
UUCCUGUGAACUCUGAGAGCUAGAAUAUC